CGGCUUUCCAUACUUUAUGCUAGGUGGGAGGAGAAUAGGUUCAUCAAUGCGAUUGUCCCAGAUGCCAAAGGUGUCCCAUGUGGCGGGCCGCCCGCUCCCGUCCGGAUCGAAGCGGGAUGCCCGGCGUUCGGAGGUGGAAAUGCAGCACUCGGCUGUCGUACGCUUCUCGUCUUGCAAGAGGCGGGAUGUCAGCAGGGCUCUCCUUCGUACUUGAUAACCUCCGUUUCUUACCAAAUGGAUUAAAGCAGCUGUUGACAUAACUUGUCUUCGCAGAGAUUCGUAGGGAUAAAAGAGAUGUAGCAGCUGGAAUGUCUUCAAGAACAAAGAGAAAACUGAUCAAGAAUCAGCACAGGAAGGGGGACUAUCACUUACAUCAUUCAGGAUACAAUUUCACAGUCAGAGCCCCUAAUAUAGCACAGCACUGCCUAGAAGAGGCUACAGAGCCUCUGCAUGACUCAUCGAGAAACAAUCCUGCACAGACCAGCCCACAGUUACUGUUCUGAUGAGGAGUGCUGCAGAUAAAUUGAGGCAAGGCAUCUCCACUGGCCACCUCCAUCGUCAUAUCCCAUAUUUUCAGAGGUGGCAGGGGUUGUGAUGGAGCUAACGAGGGUGACAUUGAAUUUGUUUCCUCUCAUCAAAACUAGGGAAAUGUUGGAAGUAUGAGGUAAUUUCUUUGUCUCUUCUGCUUUCUUCGCUCAACUUGAUUGGUGAAAACUUUUGAAAUCAGUCCUGCAGGAGUUAAGGUAAGUGAAAAUAUUUUUUAUUUGACUAUGUCAGAACUGCUAAGGAGAAGCUUUUGGCUGUAUGGGUGGAAUGGUCAGAUCCUCAAAGGUGAGAAAGAGAGUAGUGCCUGAGGAGGAGUUGUGCGUAGCAGGCAAUGUAAAAUUUUCAUGUACAAACUCUUUAU
Molecule: long non-coding RNA, 907 nt
Filed under: Gallus gallus (chicken)
Lineage: Eukaryota; Metazoa; Chordata; Aves; Galliformes; Phasianidae
Source: RNAcentral